This 313-nucleotide ribosomal RNA is filed under the name uncultured bacterium. Its description in RNAcentral is "bacterial SSU rRNA". It matches the Rfam family "Bacterial small subunit ribosomal RNA", at positions 28 to 334 of the family's 1533-position model. The record is from RNAcentral.
GAUGAACGCUGGCGGCGUGCCUAACACAUGCAAGUCGAACGGACUCAUAUUGAAACCUAGUGAUUUAUGAGUUAGUGGCGGACGGGUGAGUAACGCGUGGAAAACCUGCCGUAUACCGGGGGAUAACACUUAGAAAUAGGUGCUAAUACCGCAUAAGCGCACAGCUUCGCAUGAAGCAGUGUGAAAAACUCCGGUGGUAUACGAUGGAUCCGCGUCUGAUUAGCUGGUUGGCGGGGUAACAGCCCACCAAGGCGACGAUCAGUAGCCGGCCUGAGAGGGUGAACGGCCACAUUGGGACUGAGACACGGCCCAA